AUGGCUAAGUCACAAUCAUUGGCUGCAGCAUUGCUGCUUGUCCUAGUGGUGUCCCUCACCGCCAUAGAGGGUGUUCAUGGCAUCUGCGGCAUGUCGAAUGAUGAAUUCAAACUUUGCCAGCCUGCGGCAGCAGUGGAAAACCCAAUAGACAGUCUGUCAGCUGAGUGUUGUGCCGCGCUUGGGAAGGCUAACUUAUCGUGCAUUUGCCGCUACAAGGCAUCGCCAGCAUAUGGCUGA
This 237-nucleotide ribosomal RNA is filed under the name Triticum aestivum (bread wheat). RNAcentral describes it as "partial small subunit ribosomal RNA". The record is from RNAcentral. Lineage: Eukaryota; Viridiplantae; Streptophyta; Magnoliopsida; Poales; Poaceae.